Molecule: ribosomal RNA, 497 nt
Filed under: uncultured bacterium
Lineage: Bacteria
Description: partial 16S ribosomal RNA
Rfam family: Bacterial small subunit ribosomal RNA
Source: RNAcentral
GAUGAACGCUGGCGGCGUGCCUAAUACAUGCAAGUCGAGCGAACAGAUGAGGAGCUUGCUCCUCUGACGUUAGCGGCGGACGGGUGAGUAACACGUGGAUAACCUACCUAUAAGACUGGGAUAACUUCGGGAAACCGGAGCUAAUACCGGAUAAUAUAUUGAACCGCAUGGUUCAAUAGUGAAAGACGGUUUUGCUGUCACUUAUAGAUGGAUCCGCGCCGCAUUAGCUAGUUGGUAAGGUAACGGCUUACCAAGGCAACGAUGCGUAGCCGACCUGAGAGGGGGAUAGGCCACACGGGAACUGAGACACGGUCAAGACUCCUACGGGAGGCAGCAGAAGGGAAUCUGCCGCAAUGGGCGAAAGCAUGACGGAGCAACGCCGCGUGAGUGAUGAAGGUCUUCGGAUCGUAAAACUCUGUUAUUAGGGAAGAACAAAUGUGUAAGUAACUAUGCACGUCUUGACGGUACCUAAUGAGAAAGCCACGGCUAACUACGUG